RNAcentral lists this long non-coding RNA (784 nucleotides) under Meleagris gallopavo (turkey). RNAcentral describes it as "lncRNA (ENSMGAG00000019575.1)". Lineage: Eukaryota; Metazoa; Chordata; Aves; Galliformes; Phasianidae. The record is from RNAcentral.
GUGUCACCUCCGUUCUCCUUCACGAUGUCCCCGUGUGUCACCUCUGCUCCCCUUUAUGUUGUCCCCCCAUGUCACCUCACCUCCAUUCCUCCUGAUGUCCCCCCGUGUCACCUCCCCUCUCCUGUCACUGCGUGACCCCCCGAUGUCCCCACACGUCCCCUCCUGACCCCCCGAUGUCCCCACAGUUGUGUGUUACAACGGUGGCACCCACGACGGCAUCAAAUGCCUCUGCCUCUCCAACUUCUAUGGGCCGCAGUGCGAGUUCCCCAUCGACACCAUCGACACCUCCCUCUCGUCCUCCAGCACCACGGUGGCUGCGGCGGAUCUGGACGUCACCAUCACCAACUUCAACUACACCGAGGAGUUGGAGGACCAACAGUCGGAAGCGUUCCUCGAGUUUGGGGAGCACUUCCAGAAGGAGAUCGGGAAAAUCUACGGCAGCGUCCCCAGCUACAAGGGGGUGAAGAUCCUCGACGUCGGGAUCGGCGUCGUCGUGACCCACCGGGUCGUCAUCACCACCAGCGCCGACGGCCCCAAUGUCACCGCCGAGAUUUUUGGGGUCACCGAAGCCCUGGUGGAGAAACUCCGCCAGACCGAGAGCAGCCAGGGGAACUGCCAGCAAAACGCCUCUCGCAGCCCCCCACUGGCGGCACCCAUUGGUACGAGUUGGACGCCGACUUCUGGGAGUCACCCGACGGCUUCGUCUACAGCAACAGCACCGCAGGUGGGGGCAGCGCCCCAUAAAAACCCAUCAGACCCCAUAAAAACCCAUCAGACCCCAUAA